CUGGUUGAUCCUGCCAGUAGUCAUAUGCUUGUCUCAAAGAUUAAGCCAUGCAUGUCUAAGUAUAAGCAAUUAUACCGCGAAACUGCGAAUAGCUCAUUAAAUCAGUUAUCGUUUAUUUGAUAGUACCUUACUACAUGGAUAACCGUGGUAAUUCUAGAGCUAAUACAUGCUAAAAAUCCCGACUUCGGAAGGGAUGUAUUUAUUAGAUUAAAAACCAAUGCCCUUCGGGGCUCUCUGGCGAUUCAUAAUAACUUCUCGAAUCGCACGGCCUUGCGCCGGCGAUGGUUCAUUCAAAUUUCUGCCCUAUCAACUUUCGACGGCUGGGUCUUGGCCAGCCGUGGUGACAACGGGUAACGGAGGGUUAGGGCUCGACCCCGGAGAAGGAGCCUGAGAAACGGCUACUACAUCCAAGGAAGGCAGCAGGCGCGCAAAUUACCCAAUCCCGACACGGGGAGGUAGUGACAAUAAAUACUGAUACAGGGCUCUUUCGGGUCUUGUAAUUGGAAUGAGUACAAUUUAAAUCCCUUAACGAGGAACAAUUGGAGGGCAAGUCUGG
RNAcentral lists this ribosomal RNA (556 nucleotides) under uncultured Chaetomium. Its description in RNAcentral is "SSU rRNA". It matches the Rfam family "Eukaryotic small subunit ribosomal RNA", at positions 4 to 564 of the family's 1831-position model. Lineage: Eukaryota; Fungi; Ascomycota; Sordariomycetes; Sordariales; Chaetomiaceae. The record is from RNAcentral.